RNAcentral lists this ribosomal RNA (720 nucleotides) under Triticum aestivum (bread wheat). Its description in RNAcentral is "partial small subunit ribosomal RNA". Lineage: Eukaryota; Viridiplantae; Streptophyta; Magnoliopsida; Poales; Poaceae. The record is from RNAcentral.
AUGAUUUGCUUCAAUUGUAGUUGGCAUGGCCAUUAUGUGGGGAAUUGUGUAGAGUCAAAGAAGUGCUUUAUCUAUGCCGGGAGUCAUAAUGUGAACAACUGUGCUGCUUGGGCAAAGCCUCAACCUGCUGCCACUUAUUUUGGUAGUGCUGCUUCUGGAUUAGGGUUCUAUCACAUUGAAGUUCCUAUAGCUGCUGAGUCUAGUUGGCUUAAUUACAAAAACUGUGCUGUUCUUAAAGUGGUUAAAGGAGAGGUCUCUGCCUCUGAACUACUGACCUAGUUAAAUGGAAUCUUCUGCAAGAAUAAGGAAUGGCCAUGGCAAAUCAGAGAGUUGGAAAGUAAUAAGUUUUUGCUGAGGUUUCCACCUUGGAAAAAUGUGGAGGACCUGAUUGAGUUCCCUCCUUUUGAAUUGCCUGUUGCUGGAGUGUCAGUUAAAAUCUGUGAAUGGGAAGGUAUGUUGGAUGAAUUUGGGGCACUGAUUGAAGCAUGGGUACAGAUUGAGGGUAUUCCACCCAAGUGGUGUGCAUGGAAGGUGUUUGCCCAGAUUGCUGCCUGCUUUGGCAUCCUUGUGGAUGUAGAUUGGAAUGACAUUUUCAAAAGUUUCUAUGAAAAAAUUCGAGUCAAAAUUGCCUGUAGAGAUCCCAGGAAAAUUCCUUUUGAGAGAUUGGUGAAGAUGAAAAAGAAACUUUACUUACUGUUUUUUACAGUAGAAGGUUUUGAG